GUUAAGCGACUAAGCGUACACGGUGGAUGCCCUGGCAGUCAGAGGCGAUGAAGGGCGUGCUAAUCUGCGAUAAGCGCCGGUAAGGUGAUAUGAACCGUUAUAACCGGCGAUACCCGAAUGGGGAAACCCAGUGUGAUUCGUCACACUAUCAUUAACUGAAUCCAUAGGUUAAUGAGGCGAACCGGGGGAACUGAAACAUCUAAGUACCCCGAGGAAAAGAAAUCAACCGAGAUUCCCCCAGUAGCGGCGAGCGAACGGGGAGGAGCCCAGAGCCUGAAUCAGCAUGUGUGUUAGUGGAAGCGUCUGGAAAGGCGCGCGAUACAGGGUGACAGCCCCGUACACAAAAGCGCAUGUGCUGUGAGCUCGAUGAGUAGGGCGGGACACGUGGUAUCCUGUCUGAAUAUGGGGGGACCAUCCUCCAAGGCUAAAUACUCCUGACUGACCGAUAGUGAACCAGUACCGUGAGGGAAAGGCGAAAAGAACCCCGGCGAGGGGAGUGAAAAAGAACCUGAAACCGUGUACGUACAAGCAGUGGGAGCACCCUUCGGGGUGUGACUGCGUACCUUUUGUAUAAUGGGUCAGCGACUUAUAUUCUGUAGCAAGGUUAACCGUAUAGGGGAGCCGGAGGGAAACCGAGUCUUAACCGGGCGUUAAGUUGCAGGGUAUAGACCCGAAACCCGGUGAUCUAGCCAUGGGCAGGUUGAAGGUUGGGUAACACUAACUGGAGGACCGAACCGACUAAUGUUGAAAAAUUAGCGGAUGACCUGUGGCUGGGGGUGAAAGGCCAAUCAAACCGGGAGAUAGCUGGUUCUCCCCGAAAGCUAUUUAGGUAGCGCCUCGUGAAUUCAUCUCCGGGGGUAGAGCACUGUUUCGGCUAGGGGGCCAUCCCGGCUUACCAACCCGAUGCAAACUGCGAAUACCGGAGAAUGUUAUCACGGGAGACACACGGCGGGUGCUAACGUCCGUCGUGAAGAGGGAAACAACCCAGACCGCCAGCUAAGGUCCCAAAGUCAUGGUUAAGUGGGAAACGAUGUGGGAAGGCCCAGACAGCCAGGAUGUUGGCUUAGAAGCAGCCAUCAUUUAAAGAAAGCGUAAUAGCUCACUGGUCGAGUCGGCCUGCGCGGAAGAUGUAACGGGGCUAAACCAUGCACCGAAGCUGCGGCAGCGAACGUAUCACCCAAGACAACUUUACGGAGUUGACGAUUGACGGAGCGAAGCGACGUCAAAGCGUUCAUUAAAGUCGAGUUGGCUUAGGGAUACGUUCGUUGGGUAGGGGAGCGUUCUGUAAGCCUGUGAAGGUGUGUCGUGAGGCAUGCUGGAGGUAUCAGAAGUGCGAAUGCUGACAUAAGUAACGAUAAAGCGGGUGAAAAGCCCGCUCGCCGGAAGACCAAGGGUUCCUGUCCAACGUUAAUCGGGGCAGGGUGAGUCGACCCCUAAGGCGAGGCCGAAAGGCGUAGUCGAUGGGAAACGGGUUAAUAUUCCCGUACUUGGUGUUACUGCGAAGGGGGGACGGAGAAGGCUAUGUUGGCCGGGCGACGGUUGUCCCGGUUUAAGCGUGUAGGUGUGUGUUCCAGGUAAAUCCGGUUCACUUUAACACUGAGGCGUGACGACGAGGCACUACGGUGCUGAAGCAACAAAUGCCCUGCUUCCAGGAAAAGCCUCUAAGCAUCAGGUAACAUCAAAUCGUACCCCAAACCGACACAGGUGGUCAGGUAGAGAAUACCAAGGCGCUUGAGAGAACUCGGGUGAAGGAACUAGGCAAAAUGGUGCCGUAACUUCGGGAGAAGGCACGCUGACACGUAGGUGAAGUGAUUUACUCA
This 1820-nucleotide ribosomal RNA is filed under the name Salmonella enterica. RNAcentral describes it as "partial 23S ribosomal RNA". It matches the Rfam family "Bacterial large subunit ribosomal RNA", at positions 1 to 1773 of the family's 2925-position model. The record is from RNAcentral. Lineage: Bacteria; Pseudomonadati; Pseudomonadota; Gammaproteobacteria; Enterobacterales; Enterobacteriaceae.